Molecule: ribosomal RNA, 301 nt
Filed under: uncultured bacterium
Lineage: Bacteria
Description: partial 16S ribosomal RNA
Rfam family: Bacterial small subunit ribosomal RNA
Source: RNAcentral
CAGUCGCCACGGGAAUACGAGGGGGGCAAGCGUUGUUCGGAAUUACUGGGCGUAAAGCGUGCGUAGGCGGUUUGUUAAGUCUGCUGUGAAAUCCCCGGGCUCAACCUGGGAAUGGCAGUGGAUACUGGCAAGCUAGAGUGUGUCAGAGGAUGGUGGAAUUCCCGGUGUAGCGGUGAAAUGCGUAGAUAUCAGGAGGAACACCUGUGGCGAAAGCGGCUCACUGGACCACAACCGACGCUGAGGCGCGAAAGCUAGGGGAGCAAACAGGAUUAGAGACCCGAGUAGUCCCUGUCUCUUAUAC